This is a non-coding RNA of Misgurnus anguillicaudatus (oriental weatherfish), 1904 nucleotides long. The record is from RefSeq and is a predicted model, not a curated record. NCBI's taxonomy places the organism in Eukaryota, Metazoa, Chordata, Actinopteri, Cypriniformes, Cobitidae.
ACAGAAUGAAGACGAUCAGUUUAAAAUUUGCUUUACAAGCUGAGUUUGCAUUAAACUUUCUCAAUGUCUGUCAUUUUGACAGACACGGGCUGUAAGAAAAUUGUCAAAAUCAAUAAUAAUAUGAGGCAACUGCCAAACAAUUACAACUAAACUCAAUCAACUAUCGUAAUCUGCCUGAACUCAAAUCUUGUGGUCUAUAAAGUGGGAGUUUAUCUGUGUGUAAUUCAACCAUCAUGUUAGACUGAAGGAGUUGCAGUUAUCAUUAGAUUUCAUGGCAACACUGGACAAAUUACUACUCACACUCAGUGUGACUUCAGACAAAGGAUAAACAAAGACAUUGAGUAUGUUUACAUGCACAUAAUAAGAGGACAAUUAUCUUAUUAUGAUAUUAUAAAAAUCAUCUUAUUACAUUAACAUGUUUCAAGCAUUUUAAUUUCCUUUUAUUUGUGAAGUUUAUCUAUCACAGGUGGGGACAUACGCACAUACGAAACGGCAAAAAAGACGUUAAAAUCUGGGUUAAGAGCAAAAAACUACCUGCACCAAUCAGUUUUUGCCAUUUAUGGGCUUUACCCUAUAAAAGAAAACCGUUUUAUGCAUUUAAAUGACCUUACACGUUAUCAGUUUAUUAAGCGUUUAUACUAUGUAGACACACUUACUGUGCACUAAGAUAAAAAAAUUGGUUAACACGACCACUUCACUCAGAGGUUGGAGAAGACAACCGGUGGACUAAACAUCAAGCCUCUGCACGAUUCAGGUAAGUGGAAUAAAAUACAUUGUAAAUAAACAUUAUUAAAACAGAUUGUAAAGUCAUUCAUUCAAAACUUGCUAUGACCUAAGCCUAAAUGACUUAAUUUCUUUUUAGAAUUAAGACAACCUUAGCAGGAGAGUCCCAGCAGUAACUUUCUCUCAAGCAGAUGAGCAAUAAGUUGCUUUGUAUGAACACCACCCUAACAAUCAAGUUUUCUACAGUUAGCCUGUUAACAGUAGACCAAAGGUAUGAUGAUCAAUUAUAAAUGCAAUAUGGUUGAAAGCUUGACAAAAAUGUAGCUUGAAGGAGAAGGGACAGCUGAGUAACAAAGUCCUGGUACGCAGACGACGAUACUAUUACACUGACAAGAGUGUAAUGAUGAUGGAGACACAAGCCAAAGAAAGGGUGGACUAAACACCAGGCCAGAAUUCUGCAUGAGUCAGCUCCAGUGGGUGCAGAUCAUCAUACAGAUGGUUAAAGUGUGGAUCCACCUAAUAUUCAAGAUUUUCUGUCCUGGGACCCUCGGCUAACCAUCAAGAAAGAAAACACUCCAGUGGGCAUCCUUUAUCCAUCCAGACCCUCCUACAGAUGGUUGGAGUUUUGAUUCAAGUACCAUGCAAGAGCACUCUUUUUCACUCUUGAGACCAUGGUGUGACCUGCAAGGUCGAAUGGAGACUGUAAACGAGACAAUCUUGGAGUCACCUGCAUUCACUGGUCCAGUUGUUAGCCCAAUUACAGAUGGAGAGUGUAGAAGAGGAUGAUGUAUUUUCUCCAACAUCUUUCUAGACUGAUAAAAGAUCUAGACAGGCUCGAACAAAAGUUAACAGAGGGGCUUAUAUAGAGAAUGGUGAGCAGCUACACAAAAGAAGAACAUGGAGAAUCUGCUCAAAGGUGUUAACCAGCAAUGCAGCUAUACAACUAAAUUGAUGCAGGCGGAAACAAUGUGUAAUGCAGCUGCAGAUGAAGAAUCCGUCCGUCUACCACUGAAGGAGACACAGAAAAUCCAUCCAAGAUGUUCUUUGCCCAAGGAAGCAUUUGAUUAUUUUAAAGAUGUUGUGUUUCUUUGUAUGUUAUAGAAAAACGUUGCUUUUUGCAUAAGAUCGUGUAAAUAUGCAUGUUUUCCUUUGUCUAAUUUUAAUAAAUUUUACGCAAUCAA